This is a non-coding RNA of Podarcis lilfordi (Lilford's wall lizard), 75 nucleotides long. The record is from the annotation of a GenBank genome assembly. NCBI's taxonomy places the organism in Eukaryota, Metazoa, Chordata, Lepidosauria, Squamata, Lacertidae.
GUCCUGGAUAGCUCAGUUGGUUAGAGUAUGGUGCUGAUAACCCCAAGGUUGCAGGUUCAAUCGCCGUAAGGGACA